RNAcentral lists this ribosomal RNA (254 nucleotides) under uncultured bacterium. RNAcentral describes it as "partial 16S ribosomal RNA". It matches the Rfam family "Bacterial small subunit ribosomal RNA", at positions 524 to 776 of the family's 1533-position model. The record is from RNAcentral.
UACGGGGGGAGCAAGCGUUGUUCGGAUUUACUGGGCGUAAAGGGCGCGUAGGCGGUCAGCACAAGUCAGUUGUGAAAUCUCCGGGCUUAACUCGGAAAGGUCAACUGAUACUGUGCGACUAGAGUGCGGAAGAGGGUCGUGGAAUUCCCAGUGUAGAGGUGAAAUUCGUAGAUAUUGGGAAGAACACCGGUGGCGAAGGCGGCGACCUGGUCCGAUACUGACGCUGAGGCUCGAAAGCGUGGGGAGCAAACAGG